UAAUAUGGCCAUACUACCCUGAACACGCCUGAUCUCGUCCGUACUCAGAAGCUAAGCAGGGUCAGGCCUGGUUAGUACUUGGAUGGGCGACCGCCUGGGAAUACCGGGUGCUGUAGGCU
Ribosomal RNA from Rhineura floridana, 119 nucleotides. The record is from RefSeq and is a predicted model, not a curated record. NCBI's taxonomy places the organism in Eukaryota, Metazoa, Chordata, Lepidosauria, Squamata, Rhineuridae.